RNAcentral lists this ribosomal RNA (490 nucleotides) under uncultured bacterium. Its description in RNAcentral is "partial 16S ribosomal RNA". It matches the Rfam family "Bacterial small subunit ribosomal RNA", at positions 30 to 507 of the family's 1533-position model. The record is from RNAcentral.
AUUGAACGCUGGCGGCAGGCCUAACACAUGCAAGUCGAACGGUAACAGGAAGCAGCUUGCUGCUUUGCUGACGAGUGGCGGACGGGUGAGUAAUGUCUGGGAAACUGCCUGAUGGAGGGGGAUAACUACUGGAAACGGUAGCUAAUACCGCAUAACGUCGCAAGACCAAAGAGGGGGACCUUAGGGCCUCUUGCCAUCGGAUGUGCCCAGAUGGGAUUAGCUAGUGGGUGGGGUAACGGCUCACCUAGGCGACGAUCCCUAGCUGGUCUGAGAGGAUGACCAGCCACACUGGAACUGAGACACGGUCCAGACUCCUACGGGAGGCAGCAGUGGGGAAUAUUGCACAAUGGGCGCAAGCCUGAUGCAGCCAUGCCGCGUGUAUGAAGAAGGCCUUCGGGUUGUAAAGUACUUUCAGCGGGGAGGAAGGGAGUAAAGUUAAUACCUUUGCUCAUUGACGUUACCCGCAGAAGAAGCACCGACUAACUCCGUG